UGUGAUUUGAUUUGUUGAUACGGUAAUCUGAAGGUAGCUCGGUGGCACAAUGAGUUCCAAACCACCACCCACAAAUGAUCAUAAAUCCAAAGCUACUGGUUCAAAGAAACCUGAUCUCAGUGGUAACUCCAAAGGCUCUGGGAAAGGCUAUGGGAAAGGGUCUGGGUCUGGGUCCGGGUCUGGGAAAGGGUCCGGGUCUGGGAAAGGAUCCGGUUCCAGUUCUGGGUCUGGCAAUAAGAAGAAAUGAUCUCAUAUGAUACCAUGAUUCAUGUGUGAUUAAGUUGGAAUUAGAAACUCCAAUCAGUCGAAGAAGGUGAAAGAAAGCAAGUACGUACGUAGUACGUGUUACUAUAGGGAUCUGAGAGUCUGGUUUAGUUUUUGGACUUAAUUUGUCUGGUUUACUAUCUAGGGUUAAGCACAACUUGUGCUGAAACCUUGGCUUCUUCUAUUCUAUUUUCUGUCUAAGAAAACAAGGUUUUUAAGGCCACUUAUCAUGUUUUUCAUUCCCCACUCAUGUUUCUCUCGCUGUAACCCAACUUAAUAUAUAAUCAUCAUAUAUUCUUAUGCUUUUUUUUUCUUUCAAUA
Molecule: non-coding RNA, 585 nt
Organism: Cajanus cajan (pigeon pea)
Lineage: Eukaryota; Viridiplantae; Streptophyta; Magnoliopsida; Fabales; Fabaceae
Source: RefSeq, a predicted model, not a curated record